This 350-nucleotide ribosomal RNA is filed under the name uncultured bacterium. RNAcentral's name for it is "bacterial SSU rRNA". It matches the Rfam family "Bacterial small subunit ribosomal RNA", at positions 917 to 1269 of the family's 1533-position model. The record is from RNAcentral.
GGGCCCGCACAAGCGGUGGAGCAUGUGGUUUAAUUCGAUGCAACGCGAAGAACCUUACCAGGGCUUGACAUACUGCGAAUCUCCUUGAAAGAGGAGAGUGCCUUCGGGAAUGCAGAUACAGGUGGUGCAUGGCUGUCGUCAGCUCGUGUCGUGAGAUGUUGGGUUAAGUCCCGCAACGAGCGCAACCCUUGUUUUUAUGUUACCAAUUCGUUGGGGCUUUCUAGAAAGACUGCCGGUGACAAACCGGAGGAAGGUGAGGAUGACGUCAAGUCAGCAUGCCCCUUAUGUCCUGGGCUACACACGUGCUACAAUGGCUAGGACAAAGAGUCGCAAGUUUGCGAAAACAAGCU